This 778-nucleotide ribosomal RNA is filed under the name Staphylococcus aureus. Its description in RNAcentral is "partial 23S ribosomal RNA". It matches the Rfam family "Bacterial large subunit ribosomal RNA", at positions 1392 to 2165 of the family's 2925-position model. Lineage: Bacteria; Bacillati; Bacillota; Bacilli; Caryophanales; Staphylococcaceae. The record is from RNAcentral.
UAAGCUGAGGCCGACAGGCGUAGGCGAUGGAUAACAGGUUGAUAUUCCUGUACCACCUAUAAUCGUUUUAAUCGAUGGGGGGACGCAGUAGGAUAGGCGAAGCGUGCGAUUGGAUUGCACGUCUAAGCAGUAAGGCUGAGUAUUAGGCAAAUCCGGUACUCGUUAAGGCUGAGCUGUGAUGGGGAGAAGACAUUGUGUCUUCGAGUCGUUGAUUUCACACUGCCGAGAAAAGCCUCUAGAUAGAAAAUAGAUGCCCGUACCGCAAACCGACACAGGUAGUCAAGAUGAGAAUUCUAAGGUGAGCGAGCGAACUCUCGUUAAGGAACUCGGCAAAAUGACCCCGUAACUUCGGGAGAAGGGGUGCUCUUUAGGGUUAACGCCCAGAAGAGCCGCAGUGAAUAGGCCCAAGCGACUGUUUAUCAAAAACACAGGUCUCUGCUAAACCGUAAGGUGAUGUAUAGGGGCUGACGCCUGCCCGGUGCUGGAAGGUUAAGAGGAGUGGUUAGCUUCUGCGAAGCUACGAAUCGAAGCCCCAGUAAACGGCGGCCGUAACUAUAACGGUCCUAAGGUAGCGAAAUUCCUUGUCGGGUAAGUUCCGACCCGCACGAAAGGCGUAACGAUUUGGGCACUGUCUCAACGAGAGACUCGGUGAAAUCAUAGUACCUGUGAAGAUGCAGGUUACCCGCGACAGGACGGAAAGACCCCGUGGAGCUUUACUGUAGCCUGAUAUUGAAAUUCGGCACAGCUUGUACAGGAUAGGUAGGAGCCUUUGAAACGU